Molecule: ribosomal RNA, 578 nt
Filed under: uncultured bacterium
Lineage: Bacteria
Description: partial 16S ribosomal RNA
Rfam family: Bacterial small subunit ribosomal RNA
Source: RNAcentral
UGGGGAAUUUUGGACAAUGGGCGAAAGCCUGAUCCAGCAAUGCCGCGUGUGUGAAGAAGGCCUUCGGGUUGUAAAGCACUUUUGUCCGGAAAGAAAUCCUUGGCUCUAAUACAGUCGGGGGAUGACGGUACCGGAAGAAUAAGCACCGGCUAACUACGUGCCAGCAGCCGCGGUAAUACGUAGGGUGCAAGCGUUAAUCGGAAUUACUGGGCGUAAAGCGUGCGCAGGCGGUUUGCUAAGACCGAUGUGAAAUCCCCGGGCUCAACCUGGGAACUGCAUUGGUGACUGGCAGGCUAGAGUAUGGCAGAGGGGGGUAGAAUUCCACGUGUAGCAGUGAAAUGCGUAGAGAUGUGGAGGAAUACCGAUGGCGAAGGCAGCCCCCUGGGCCAAAUACUGACGCUCAUGCACGAAAGCGUGGGGGAGCAAACAGGAUUAGAUACCCUGGGUAGUCCACGCCCUAAACGAUGUCAACUAGUUGUUGGGGAUUCAUUUCCUUAGUAACGUAGCUAACGCGUGAAGUUGACCGCCUGGGGAGUACGGUCGCAAGAUUAAAACUCAAAUGAAUUGACGGGGUCAUA